CUUUAUUGUACAUGUACCAAUUUUUUUGGAUUAAUGUGUUUCAUAAUAAAAACAAAAUCAAACAAUACAGCUAUUUUGAAAAUGAAAAGUAGACUUGUUUCCUUUCCCUGCACAAUAGUAUCCCUGGUGAUUUUUCCUUAUAUUAGCAUUGAAUGGGAAAGUAAACAUGUUACUGAAUUGCAGUGGGCUUCAAUGUGUGCAUAUAUGUACUUGUGUGUUCUCCACUGAGAACAUGAUCUUUAGUAAACAGGAGCAAGAAAGAGUGGAUGAAAGAUGAAAAACCUGCUGAAGCAGAAGUUGCUGGUCCCAAAGAAGGGACCUGGCAGAAAAUGUGCAGCCUCACUUCAUGUCUCUGACAUAAGGUAGGAACCCAAGUUGGAAGGAGUGGUUAGAUCCAAGAAUGUCACCAGUAAUAAAUCUCUUCUUUGGGGGGAUUUUUGCCAUCUGGAGGGCUCUCAACUUCAGCCAGAUAAGAACAGCUCAGUGUAUUGUGCUGGCCCAGUCAACAAGAUCUUCUCCUGGAAACACUGUUUGAUCCUUAGUGUUUCUGAGGAUAAUUUAUUGUUUAUUGCCUUCUGAUCUCUCUGGUGUACUAUCAGUACAUUGUACCCUGUUUCAGUUCUCCCUAUGUUGCCCUGAAUCUAGCAGAGAAAGGGUCAGUUGUGGAGGACAGUGUGUGCUCCUAGUACUUUAUCUUCCUUCUAGAACAUCACCUUUAGGGAGGAGUUCCCACCUUUGGGCAGAUCUGAUCCCAUACGAGUCUGCCAGGCCCACUAGCACAAGGCAAUGACAAGAUUGAUCAUUUAUUAAUUGGUCAUGGUCACGGGAGGACUAAGAUGAUGUGGGAACGAUUCUUAAGGGACCACGCACAUGUGGAUAGCCCCUUCCUUCUGGCCUGGCUUCCUUGCUGCCCCUGGAAUGCUUUGGCUUGCAUUUGGGCUGGUGUUUAUCUGAACAAAGAAAUCUUAGCCUUAUGGACUAAGGAUCAUCUUUGAGCGCAUGCAGAAUGCUAUAAUCAACAAGGAGUUCCCACCUUUGGGCAGAUCAGCAUGCAGCUCACUCCUGCUGAUCACAGGCUCUCUGCCUUGUGCAUCUGUUUCCUGUGAAAAUAUUUUUCUGGUUAUAAGAAGAUUUAGGGGUUCAGGAGUUGAAUCAAGGUAGUUUUCUGUAUUGUAGGAAUAAGCAGAACCUUCACUGCUUUUAUUUUGUAGGUUCCCCAGAGGGUCUACAUUCAGAAUCCCAUGUAGCUCACAUUCACAUGUUUUCUAAUCAAGGCCAUGGGUAUCUCUCCUUAACUGUUACUCAGACAUUGCUACACUGUUGUUUUUCUCAAAAUUAAUGGAUCUACACAACUGUAGAAAUGUGAUAUAUUUUCAUGGCAAGCAACUCUAAUUCUCAUUAAUUUUCUUGCAAAUUUUUAAAAAUGAGAUGAAAAUCUAUGCCCAUGUGAACUCUGUCCUUUCUCCCUUGAGGAAUGCAGAGAAUGACCUCAGCUGAAAGGUCAUGCUAGAUAUUCCCACUGAAUAGAGCUGGUUCAGGCUUAAUAGCUGACAUACUAGGCUCCUACCAGGCCUUUUCACUAACUGGCUUUUUCCUCUAGGUCAGAAAAUCUCCAAUCUGAGAUGGAACAGGCCACAGCGCAGGAUGAGAGCCUCCUACAAAAAAGCUGCUGUAGCAGGAACACUAAGUCUCACAGGAGAGUGACCCACCAUUGCAUACCAAACCUAGCAGCCAAAAAAUUGUUGGUGGGAGGGGCUCUUGACAUUUCCCUCUUCUCCAUGAAUAGACCAUGAUUUUGUUCAAACUGUGUCCAGACAGGAUGAUUGUGACUCUGAUUGCCCUUCCUUUUCACACAGCAGCCCUUGAGAGAACUGAGGAAGCCUAAGAAGCCACAAACGCCUUGGACCCAUGAAGUUGUCCAGCCUUGGAUCAAAGCAUCCUCAGAAUUAUAUACUUGUUGUAUCUGUGAACUCUCCAGUGAGGCAAAUACCAGCUGACUUACAAGUGAUCGAGCCAAAAUCAGAUAUAGACUUAUCUUAUGGAGGACACCAGCAGGAUGUGUCCUGUCUUCCUGGGAUCACAUGGUGGCUCUACAGAGAGGAGGAGGAAGAGGAAGAGGAAGAGGAAGAGAUCG
RNAcentral lists this long non-coding RNA (2134 nucleotides) under Cricetulus griseus (Chinese hamster). Its description in RNAcentral is "lncRNA (ENSCGRG00015030061.1)". The record is from RNAcentral. Lineage: Eukaryota; Metazoa; Chordata; Mammalia; Rodentia; Cricetidae.